AGCGGAGAGGGUGGGGGGGAGGCUUUGGGGAGCGAGGCGGGCGGAGUUGCGUAACGGGGGCUCCGUGCCGGGGCAGCGGGCCUCAGCCCCGCCGUCCUAUCGCUGCCAGGCCCUCGCGUAACGCCUGAGGGGCGGGGGCCGCGCCGCCCUCCCGCUUGGCUCCGUUGGCGGGGCGUGGCCGCCUUGGCACAGGCGGCCGAUAAUGGCUUCCCGGAGCGGGCAGCGGGCACGGCGCUGCCUGCGGGCGGCAGCGGCGAGAGGAAGGGCGCCUCAGCCCGGCCGCAGCCGCCCCCCGUGGCUUCCCUACCGCCGUUAACCGACGGUGUACCAGGUAACGUUCACCUCAGUGAUGUUUUCAGAGUGGCUCCUCAAGGUGUUUUCUGAAGUGUGCUGAGGCUGGCGUGACUUCCCAGCGUACUGGCUGAAGAUCCGGCCAAGACAAAGUCUCGAAUAGUGCAAAAGACUCGAAUCAAUAUGUCUGUGCUCACCCCAAAAGCAAAACCGUGUGCGCUCUUUCUGAUGCAAUUGCAGGUAGAACAAAAAGCCACCUGAGUUCAGAAAGGUUGCGUAGCUUCAUAAAAUAGCCAGUAGCCAGUUGGUUAGAGUAUCAAUGCAAGAGGCAAGGGAUCGUGUUUAAAGCUCUCUUGUUUGAGGUUGGACUCCAGAUAAAGAACGAGUUACUCUUGUUUCUGGGAAUGGGCCGUAUCCAGGUAAUAGCAAAAAUAUUAAUAAAGUUAUGAUCAAACAUCUA
Anas platyrhynchos (mallard) is the source of this 751-nucleotide long non-coding RNA. RefSeq lists it as uncharacterized. NCBI's taxonomy places the organism in Eukaryota, Metazoa, Chordata, Aves, Anseriformes, Anatidae. The record is from RefSeq and is a predicted model, not a curated record.